This 472-nucleotide ribosomal RNA is filed under the name uncultured bacterium. RNAcentral's name for it is "partial 16S ribosomal RNA". It matches the Rfam family "Bacterial small subunit ribosomal RNA", at positions 28 to 507 of the family's 1533-position model. The record is from RNAcentral.
GACGAACGCUGGCGGCGUGCUUAACACAUGCAAGUCGAACGCUGAAGCUUGGUGCUUGCACUGGGUGGAUGAGUGGCGAACGGGUGAGUAAUACGUGAGUAACCUGCCCUUGACUCUGGGAUAAGCCUGGGAAACUGGGUCUAAUACUGGAUACGACAUGUCACCGCAUGGUGGUGUGUGGAAAGGGUUUUACUGGUUUUGGAUGGGCUCACGGCCUAUCAGCUUGUUGGUGGGGUAAUGGCUCACCAAGGCGACGACGGGUAGCCGGCCUGAGAGGGUGACCGGGCACAAUGGGACUGAGGCACGGACCAGACGGCUACGGGAGGCAACGGGGGGGAAUAUUGCAGAAUGGGGCGGAGCCUGAUGCAACGGCGCCGGGUGAGGGAUGACGGCCUUCGGGUUGUAAACCUCUUUCAGCACGGAAGAAGCGAAAGUGACGGUACGUGAAGAAGAAGCGCCGGCUAACUACGUG